AUAGGCCACACAAGAAGCAAAAUUGCUUUGGGAAAGGGAGGCACCGUCAAUGUUAGAUGGACAGGCUCAAGGGUUGAUUGUACACUUAGGCUGCUCUGCACAAAGAGUGCUUUGUGCGGAGGAUUGAUCAGCACCACAUAGAGGGCUUUAUCGCCUUGUUCCUGAAUUGCUCCAAACCUAUCUUCUUCGAUAUUACUUCCAAUAAGGGCACUCCUCUUGUUCAGUCUUGCUAGCAUCUAAAGCUAGACUGGUUCAGUUUGAAAUCGAGGUGCAUCUGAUGAGAUUGUUAGUCUCACGUCCGAAAGACUUUCUUCGCUAUGUUGUGUUUAUCCAUUCCCAUAUCUGAUGACAUCGAUCUUUCAAGGUCUAUGAUUGAAGAAUUGGUACAGUAUCAAUUCUUUUGUCGAAGGAAUGCAAACCUGAUCCAUCCAGGCCCUUGGUUGG
This 444-nucleotide long non-coding RNA is filed under the name Oryza brachyantha (malo sina). RNAcentral describes it as "long non-coding RNA (OBRA_LNC003166)". Lineage: Eukaryota; Viridiplantae; Streptophyta; Magnoliopsida; Poales; Poaceae. The record is from RNAcentral.